Ipomoea nil (Japanese morning glory) is the source of this 72-nucleotide transfer RNA. It matches the Rfam family "tRNA". Rfam says of the family: Transfer RNA (tRNA) molecules are approximately 80 nucleotides in length. Lineage: Eukaryota; Viridiplantae; Streptophyta; Magnoliopsida; Solanales; Convolvulaceae. The record is from Rfam.
GGAUUCGUGGCGCAAUGGUAGCGCAUUUGACUCCAGAUCAGAAGGGUGCGUGUUCGAUUCACGUCGGGUUCA